AAGCUAGCGCGUUAAGCAUUCCCCUGGGGAGUUCGGACGCAAGCCUGAAACUCAAAGGAAUUGACGGGGGCCCGCACAAGCGGUGGAGCAUGUGGUUUAAUUCGAUGAUACGCGAGGAACCUUACCAAGGCUUAAAUGUAGAUUGACCGAUUUGGAAACAGAUCUUUCGCAAGACAAUUUACAAGGUGCUGCAUGGUUGUCGUCAGCUCGUGCCGUGAGGUGUCAGGUUAAGUCCUAUAACGAGCGCAACCCCUGUUGUUAGUUGCCAGCGAGUCAUGUCGGGAACUCUAACGAGACUGCCAGGGCAAACUGUGAGGAAGGUGGGGAUGACGUCAAAUCAUCACGGCCCUUACGCCUUGGGCUACACACGUGCUACGAUGGCCGGUACAGAGAGCAGCCACCUCGCGAGGGGGAGCGAAUCUAUAAAACCGGUCACAGUUCGGAUCGGAGUCUGCAACUCAACUCCGUGAAGCUGGAAUCGCUAGUAAUCGGAUAUCAGCCAUGAUCCGGUGAAUACGUUCCCGGGCCUUGUACACACCGCCCGUCAAGCCAUGGAAGCUGGGGGUGCCUGAAGUCGGUGACCGCAAGGAGCUGCCUAGGGUAAAACUGGUAACUAGGGCUAAGUCGUAACAAGGUAACAAGUCGUAGAGUUUGAUCAUGGCU
Molecule: ribosomal RNA, 663 nt
Filed under: uncultured bacterium
Lineage: Bacteria
Description: bacterial SSU rRNA
Rfam family: Bacterial small subunit ribosomal RNA
Source: RNAcentral